UAGUGGCGAACGGGUGAGUAACACGUGGGCAAUCUGCCCUUCACUCUGGGACAAGCCCUGGAAACGGGGUCUAAUACCGGAUAAUACUUUCUCUCUCAUGGGGGAAGGUUAAAAGCUCCGGCGGUGAAGGAUGAGCCCGCGGCCUAUCAGCUAGUUGGUGGGGUAAUGGCCUACCAAGGCGACGACGGGUAGCCGGCCUGAGAGGGCGACCGGCCACACUGGGACUGAGACACGGCCCAGACUCCUACGGGAGGCAGCAGUGGGGAAUAUUGCACAAUGGGCGAAAGCCUGAUGCAGCGACGCCGCGUGAGGGAUGACGGCCUUCGGGUUGUAAACCUCUUUCAGCAGGGAAGAAGCGAAAGUGACGGUACCUGCAGAAGAAGCGCCGGCUAACUACGUGCCAGCAGCCGCGGUAAUACGUAGGGCGCAAGCGUUGUCCGGAAUUAUUGGGCGUAAAGAGCUCGUAGGCGGCUUGUUGCGUCGGUUGUGAAAGCC
Molecule: ribosomal RNA, 495 nt
Filed under: Streptomyces sp. 313F09
Lineage: Bacteria; Bacillati; Actinomycetota; Actinomycetes; Kitasatosporales; Streptomycetaceae
Description: bacterial SSU rRNA
Rfam family: Bacterial small subunit ribosomal RNA
Source: RNAcentral